This 376-nucleotide ribosomal RNA is filed under the name uncultured bacterium. RNAcentral describes it as "bacterial SSU rRNA". It matches the Rfam family "Bacterial small subunit ribosomal RNA", at positions 523 to 897 of the family's 1533-position model. The record is from RNAcentral.
AUACGUAGGUGGCAAGCGUUGUCCGGAUUUACUGGGCGUAAAGGGUGCGUAGGUGGAUAUUUAAGUCAGAUGUGAAACCCCUGGGCUCAACUCAGGGACUGCAUUUGAAACUGGAUAUCUGGAGUGCAGGAGAGGUAAGUGGAAUUCCUAGUGUGGCGGUGAAAUGCGUAGAGAUUUGGAAGAACACCAGUGGCGAAGGCGACUAGCUGAACUGUAACUGAGCCUGAGACACGAAAGAGUGAGUAGCAAGCAGGGUUAGAUGCCCUGGUGGUCCACGACGUAAACGAUGAGUACUAGGUGUAGGGGGUAUCGGCUCCCGCUGUGCCGCAGUUAACACAAUAAGUACUCCGCCUGGGAAGUACGAUCGCAAGAUUAA